RNAcentral lists this ribosomal RNA (253 nucleotides) under uncultured prokaryote. Its description in RNAcentral is "partial 16S ribosomal RNA". It matches the Rfam family "Bacterial small subunit ribosomal RNA", at positions 524 to 776 of the family's 1533-position model. The record is from RNAcentral.
CACGGGGGGAGCAAGCGUUGUUCGGAAUCACUGGGCGUAAAGGGCGUGUAGGCGGUUUGGUAAGUGAGAUGUGAAAUCCUCCGGCUCACCCGGAGACCUGCAUCUCAAACUGCCCGACUAGAGUAUGGGAGAGGACAAGGGAAUUCCUGGUGUAGCGGUGAAAUGCGUAGAUAUCGAGAGGAACACCAGUGGCGAAGGCGAGUCCCUGGACACUUCCUGACACUGAGGCACGAAAGCUAGGGGAGCAAACGGG